UACAGAGGUCCCGAGCGUUGUUCGGAUUCACUGGGCGUAAAGGGCGCGUAGGCGGCAUGGUAAGUUUGAUGUGAAAGCUCAGGGCUUAACCCUGAAAUGGCAUUGAAUACUACUGUGCUGGAGGUUUGGAGGGGGGACUGGAAUUCUUGGUGUAGCAGUGAAAUGCGUAGAUAUCAAGUGGAACACCAGUGGCGAAGGCGAGUCUCUGGACAUUUCCUGACGCUGAGGCACGAAAGCCAGGGGAGCAAACGGG
Molecule: ribosomal RNA, 253 nt
Filed under: uncultured bacterium
Lineage: Bacteria
Description: partial 16S ribosomal RNA
Rfam family: Bacterial small subunit ribosomal RNA
Source: RNAcentral